GGAGUGGGGAGGCCAGGCGGGCCGGCGGACUCGUCCUGGAUGCUUGCACCCCGUGCCCCCUUCGCCCAGGGUAUGAUGAGCGGCGAAGUCGGGGACCUGAGCCCCCAGCAGCAGGAGGCACUGGCCCAGGUGAUCCAGCUGUAUGACUCGGGUGGUCUGCGCGGCUAUGACUACAAGGGCUGCCUGGUAUGGUUCGACAUCAUCGGGACCCUUGACCCCUAGGGCCUCCUGCUGUCAGCCUCCAAGCAGGAGCUGAUCCGGAAGCGCAGCAAGGUCUGCAAGCUGCUUUUGCAACGGUGUGAGCUGCAGAGUCAGAAGCUGGGCAGGAAGGUUGAGACGAUGCUGAUGGUGUUCGACAGGGAGGGGCUGAGCCUCAAACACCUGUGGAAGCCAGCUGUGGAGGUCUACCAGCAGCAGGAAAUGGCAGAACCUCGGUCUAUCCAACUUCUGUCCAACCCAUGCCCGGCAGCUGUGACUGUGUAUCCAAGUCCUCUCUGGUCCAGCUUCUCCAGGGAGUUUCAUGUGUUUGAGCCCCCAAGCUGUUCCCCGUGGCCUUCAACUUGGUCCAGCUGUUCAUGAGUGAGGAGACUCGAAGGAAGAUGGUGAUUCUGGGAGGUGGCAGUUCGCAUCAGAUGGAGCAGACAUCAGCUUUGGGAUUUUCCUGAAGACCAAUAUGGGGGAGUAGCAGCGGGCCAGGGAGAUGACAGAGGUGCUGGUCAGCCAGCGCUACAAUGCCCACCUGGUGCCUGAGGAUGGGAGCCUCACCUGUCUCCAGGCCGGCGUCUAUGUCCUGCGCUUCGACAACACCUACAGCCUGAUGCACACCAAGAAGGUCACCUACACUGUGGAGGUGCUGCUCUCUGACAAGGCCUCUGAGGGGAGGAUUCAGGGUCUUGGGGCAACAAGACAGUCUCCACUGCAAUGAAGACCUUGGCUGCCCCGUGCCUGUGCUCUCCAAUCCCUUAGCAGCCCCUCCCUGUCCCCUGCUCUCCCAGGCAGGGUGCUGCUAGAGGUGACCGCAGAGAGCCACCCACCUUGCAUCACCAUCUCAGCUCCCUCUGGGCCCACCUGGCUCGGUGGCCAAGGAGGAAGAGGACCCCCAGUGCAUAGGCCACCCUGAGGAUUCAGAUGGGCACCUCAUCCCCGUUCACAGAGAAUGAGGAUGAAAACCCUGAAGAUGAACCCAAGUCUACUGAGAAAGGGUCCUACCUGCAGAAGCUACACUUUUGGCCCAUCCCUGGACUCACCCUGGCAUCCUGAUUUGGGGGUGUGCACGUGAGCCCCCCGGACCUGCAGGGAGCACAGCUUCAGGCCUGAAGGGCAGGGAAGCCCCAUUCUCUGCAUGUAGGGGCUCAGCAGGGCUGGGCAGGGUCAGCUGGAAGCCAUUGGGUGGAGGGACAGGCAAUGCUGAGGGUCUUGGUUCCAACCACCAGCCUUCCAGGGUUGUUCUACCACCUUUGAAGGGAAAAUCAGAAACAGAGAGUGAGACCCAGCAAGUAAAGUCAUCAGGAGGAAGAGCCAUGCUCAGCCUUACGCACAGCUGAGAGGGUGCAACUGAGUCUCCAGGGCACUCCCAGGGUCACCCCCACCCCUGCCACCUGCUGUGAUCUAGCCGACAUUCAGCCUGGGUUCUUCCCAGCUCUGAGGAGGGGCCAGGACAGAAGCAGAGCUGCAGGGAGGUGGAACAAAUAUGCUGGGAUUCAGAGUGGAGCUGUCAUCCCAGGGCACUCAUCCUGGAGUCUGACUUGCUUCUUGGAGAACCAUCAGGCUCUUCCUUUACCUUUGUCUCACCAAGGGGACAUCUGAAGCUUGGCUGCCCAUCCCCCCCCCCCCCCCCCCCCCCCCCGCUCCAAAUGCAACUCAGCGGUUGGCCAGUAAAGGCUUCUGUUUCUCAAAGGCUGGCUCUCCUGGGGCCCAAAGCCCACUGUCAGGACCAUCACCUGCUCUGCUGGAAGGACUGCACCCAGCAGGGCAGUCCACGCCCAGGAAGGAGCCCAGGAAGCUGCCGAUCUGGCUGUGGCUCUGUGGUUGACACCAGGUGGCAAUGAAGCCAUUAACUGUGACCUAGAAGCCCAGACUGUGCUGUGCUGCCCCCUCCCCAUCCUGCCCCCUACCCUCUGGCUGGCCAGGCCAGUGGGCCCCAGUACCUCUGAAGACCUGACCCCAGGGUGGCUCAGCCCUCAGCUCUGGAUCCCCACCCCUGUACUGCUGUCCCACAGGGUGGACUGCUGUCCACCAGGUGACGUCCUUGGGAAUGAGUGGUCAGAUGACCCUAUAAAAUGAGUCCUUGCUGCAAAGCAUUAGCAUCCUGGAACCCAGGCCCCUUCCAGGGACUAGAAACCUCAGCCACCACUGUCCAGGUGCUUCUUGUCAGAAAGAAGCCCAGCUCUAGUCCCUUUCCCACUCUCAAAUUCUGUGCUUUAAUUUUUAUUCUUGUGUUUUGCCCAAGUUAAUAGGAGAUUUCUUGAUUUCCCAGGACCUGUCUUAGGCAAAAACAUGAUGAGACUUGGGAAAGUGGGGUCUUCAAGUGUACCAGGUAAAAUCCUUGGGGCCCCAGCCUUCCAUCUGUGGCAGCUCCAUCUUUCAUGGUGGAGCACAGAGCCCACGCAGGGCUCUGCUCUCAUAAAAAGCAGACUAUCUUGGAGUUCCCUGGUGGCUCAGAGGGUUAAGGUUCUGACAUUUUCACUGAUGUGGCAUGGGUUCAACUCCUGGACUGGGAAUUUCCCUAAUUCUCAGGCAUGGCCAAAAAUAUAAAUAAAUAAGUAAGCAAGCUAACUAAAUGAAACUAAAUGCCAAAAGCCAGUGCUAUGGAGGACAUGGCCACCUGGGGCUGGGAGAAAAUCUGUACUAGGUUUUUCUGGGCCCAACUGUUGUCAUGAUGGGGAAUCACAAUGCCUUACUUCCACCUUCAUGCCCCCCACCUAAAAAUAAAGGGUUCGUGGACUUUGCCUUUCUAACCACCCUAGCCACCUUUCCCCCAUCAGCACUGCCUCAAGUGGUUUCCCCGCAGGUGCCAAGAUAUCUCUGCCCCAUGUACAAGGGUUCCCUGAGGCUCUGAUCACAGAGAACUUAUACAAAUAUGGCUGUAAAAGGGUCAGGUGUGAGCACUGGAGCCUCUACAUCCCAGAGCUGGCAGAAAGCACUCAUGUUGAGCAGAGAGGGCAGCUUUGGAAAUACCUAGAGAGGUGAGAACAGAAUCUACUACAUGGCAAGGGGGUAGGUCCACUUUGGGGGCUAGAAAGGGAACAUGUCUUCAGCAGCCCCCAUCCAGAGAGGGGCUGGCUCACCCAAAGCUAGGUUUUUUGUACACAUUCAUUCAUCAACAUUUACUGAGUGUCUGCUGAGAGCCAGGCACUGCAGGCCCUGGGGACUCCAGGAAGGCUGGGCUGAUCUGACUCUGCUCAAAGGAAACUUACCUGUAUUGAGGGAGGCAGAAGUGACUUGGAUGAUCCUCUGAUCUAUUGUCAAGUAGGCAUGUCCCUACCAUGUGUGCUUGGAGAGGCAGAAGCCAAAUUCUAGGGGGACCUCCAGCCAGGAAGCCUGAUGAGGGAUCAGAUGUGCUUUGCCCAAGGAAGGGACCCCUGGAGGAGAGCUGAGAGAUGUGUGGGGUGACCAGAGGCACAUGAGCCUUCCAGACUGAGGAAUGGGGUGGGGGCGGCUGUGGGAUGGUUGAAGCCCAAGGAAAGCUCAAAGGGCUCUUGGGUGACGCUGGUAGUGGGUCUCUGAUGUUUAUGAUUUCUUUGUGAACAUCUGUGGCCACACAUUUGAUAGUUAUUAAUAAAACCAUUUUAUAAUGCAGGUUACAAAACAGCUCUGCUGUUUGUCAGGAAGGAGUGGCAAAAUCUUGGCAGGAGGCCACAGAUCAAAACUCAUACUCAAAAUGAGGUGGUUGGAAAUAACUAGGCCUCUUCUGUCCAGAGGAAUGGAGGCAGUUGCCAGCGGUUCCCAGCACAUCUCCUGGCUGGAAAGCUCCACAAUCUUCCAAGGCAGGGGCAGGGGGAUUGCAAGUGAGGGAACUGUAGGGGUUGAUUUUUUUGGGGGGGGGGCAUGUCUGAGGCACACAGAAGUUCCCACACCAAGGAUUGAACCCACACCACAGCUGCAACCCAAAUCACAGCAGUGACAACUCCAGACCCUUAACUCACUGAGCCUCCAGGGAACUCCCUGUAGGGAUGUUCUGAAUGCAUUUGGGAAGGCUCUCCUGUUCCCCAAAUUCCUACCCAAGUCUGGCUCACCUUCCAAGAGCCCAGGCUGGAGGGCAUGCCACAGCCUGGGCUCUGGUGGGACAGUCACAGCUUCACCAGAGCUCCAUGGCAUGGCACUCCACAAUUUGCACAGUGCCUUUACAUGCAGCCCUGAAGCACAUGGAAAUUAUAGCUACACUUUACAGACCCAGUAAAAAAGCCUUGGCAAGGAGGAGAGCCUUAUCCAAACAUUCCGUGUCCAAUGGCAGAGGUGGAGCCAGAGCUCCAGUUAGCUCCCAGCAGUGCCCCUGCCCUGCCUCUCAGGGAAGGAGAGGGUCAAUGUGGGCAAGUGGGUCUCUGCCAGGGAGGGCCAGCCUGAGGUAGGGGGCGCACAGUGGGACAGAGUGAGGAGCUAGGUUCCUGGGAUGGGGUCCCCAGAGUCUGAACAAAGCUGCUUGGACAUCUGUGCCUCUUGGUGGAACAUAAUGGUGCCAGCUCCACGCCAAACCUACUGUGCACCAGGCCUGAGCUGAAGCAUCAUCCCCAGUUUACAGAUGAGAGUGAGGCUCAGGGCAGGAAGUGACUGAGCAUCUCACACAACCCAAGAGGUGGAGGUAAGAUGUGAACCCAGGCCCAUCUGUGCAGACAGCACUGGAAUUUGGUGAGCCGACCUCCCACCGGAAAAGACGGGGCUGCCGCAGGCCUGGGCUGCAGGGUGCUUGGGGAGCUGUGGUCACCUCACCUUCAGCCAUCAGAGGGCGCAGUUGGGCCAGCAGUGUCUCUGUCCUCAGAGAAGCAGGAAUGUGGGGGAGUGGCGCUCAACAUUCUGCUCAAAUAGGGUGCUUUGCUACACCAGCCAAAGCCCAAGAUACCAAGGUUACCAGGCCCAGGCUGUUUGGGGCUUUCAGGAGUGGUAGGUGGCCUGACCAGGGUUCAGAUCCUGGCUGUGUUGCUUGCUGGCUUGCUUUCUAAGUAUCUCUGGACUCCAUCUUCCUCCCAUGGCCAUUGCUCUAGUUGGGGCCUCUUGCUUGGAUUAGUAGAAAGGCAUCCGUGAGUCUCCCUGUGAUCAUUCCCAUCCCCUUCUAUCCAGACUCCACAGGGAAGCCAGAAAAACCUUUCUGAAAUGAAAAUCUGCUCCCAUCACUCCCUUCAUAAGCCCUUCACUGGCUCCUUAUUUCCCCCUGAGAGGGGUCAUUCAGUGGUGACUUGCAAGGCUCUCUGGGAACUUAACCCGCAUCCACCCAAUUUGAUGCAUUGGCUUGAACUCACCGAUACUUCAAGCUCCUUCCUGCCUCCCUGCAUUUGUUCAUGCUGAAUCCUCAACCUGCACUCCCUCCCCAGUCAUGUUCUGUGCACCUUCAAGGCUCCUAGAGACUUCUUCUGGGAGGCCUUCCCUAAGCCCCUUCCCCACCCAGCCUCCAGCCAAGUUCAGGAGCCUUCUCCACACUCUCAGAGCAACUGGACCAGUGCUUGUAACACAGUGGAGUCAUCAUCUGCCUCGUGUCUGACUCCUGUUCACCUCCAGCCACUAGUCCAGGCUACACUCCCCAGAAUAAAGCCUUGCAAAGAACUUAAGAA
RNAcentral lists this long non-coding RNA (5762 nucleotides) under Sus scrofa (pig). RNAcentral describes it as "lncRNA (ENSSSCG00065025024.1)". Lineage: Eukaryota; Metazoa; Chordata; Mammalia; Artiodactyla; Suidae. The record is from RNAcentral.